Molecule: ribosomal RNA, 301 nt
Filed under: uncultured bacterium
Lineage: Bacteria
Description: partial 16S ribosomal RNA
Rfam family: Bacterial small subunit ribosomal RNA
Source: RNAcentral
CAGUCGCCGCGGUAAUACGAAGGGGGCUAGCGUUGCUCGGAAUCACUGGGCGUUAAGGGUGCGUAGGCGGGUCUUUAAGUCAGGGGUGAAAUCCUGGAGCUCAACUCCAGAACUGCCUUUGAUACUGAAGAUCUUGAGUUCGGGAGAGGUGAGUGGAACUGCGAGUGUAGAGAUGAAAUUCGUAGAUAUUCGCAAGAACACCAGUGGCGAAGGCGGCUCACUGGCCCGAUACUGACGCUGAGGCACGAAAGCGUGGGGAGCAAACAGGAUUAGAUACCCCUGUAGUCCCUGUCUCUUAUAC